Molecule: ribosomal RNA, 1251 nt
Filed under: Triticum aestivum (bread wheat)
Lineage: Eukaryota; Viridiplantae; Streptophyta; Magnoliopsida; Poales; Poaceae
Description: partial small subunit ribosomal RNA
Source: RNAcentral
CUAAAUGUAGGUAUUGCAACUGGAACUGGAUGUGGCCUUGGAUCCAUAAUUAUUGCAGUAUGUGUAGUUGUAUUCGCCAACAAGUGGAAGAAAGGCAUCCAGAAUAGAAUCCGACAAGCACACUUCAAGAAAAAUCAAGGCCUACUCUUGCAGCAGUUGAUCUCAGAUGAAAGCGCCACAAACAAAGCAAAGAUAUUCUCCUUGGAGGAACUAGAGAAGUCAACCAACAACUUUGAUGCCACUCGUAUUCUUGGUCGUGGAGGACACGGUAUAAUUUACAAAGGCAUUCUAUCUGACCAACGGGUGGUGGCUAUUAAAAAAUCCAAAAUUGUGGAGCAGACUGAGAUAGACCAGUUUAUCAAUGAGGUUGCUAUCUUAUCUCAAAUCAUUCAUCACAAUGUGGUAAAGCUAUUUGGUUGUUGCCUCGAAUCUGAGGUGCCUUUCCUGGUGUACGAGUUUAUAUCUAACGGUACAUUGCAUGACCUUCUUCACAUUGAUGUUACUGCCAAAUGCUUGCUGUCAUGGGAUCAUCGCAUUAGGAUUGCAGUAGAAGCAGCAGGGGCACUUGCUUAUCUGCACUCGGCUGCUGCAAUACCAAUUUUCCAUAGAGACGUAAAAUCGUCUAACAUACUAAUGGAUAGAAGCUUCGCUACAAAGGUUUCUGACUUUGGUGCUUCAAGGUCUCUUUCCCUCGAUGAGACUCAUGUGGUGACUAUUGUCCAAGGAACAUUUGGUUACCUAGAUCCAGAGUAUUACCAUACCGGGCAGCUAACUGAAAAGAGUGAUGUGUAUAGUUUUGGAGUAAUACUUGUGGAACUUUUCACAAGAAGAAAGCCAAUUUUUAUCAAUGAUCUAGGUGCAAAACAAAACUUGUCCCAUUAUUUCGUGGAAGGAUUGCAAGAGGGAGAUAUCAUGGAAAUAAUGGAUCAUCAGGUUGUCAACGAGGCAAACCAGGAAGAGAUUGAUGAUAUUUGCUCACUUGCGGAAGCAUGCUUGAGACUCAAAGGAAGAGACAGACCUACUAUGAAAGAAGUAGAUAUGAGGUUGCAAUUCAUGAGAACUAAGAGGCUAAGAAAAUGCAAAAUUCUCCCAGCUAAUGAUGAAGAGAUUGAGCCUUUUUUAUGCCCAAAGGUUGGUAAUUCUGAUGCACCAGCGAAUGUUGCCAAUGCUGGUAAUUCAAAAUCAAAAGGCACCUCUAGUUGCUACAGUCUAGAGCAAGAACUUUCAUCGUUGGUCACUUGGCCACGCUAA